GCGCCCGUAGCUCAAUCGGAUAGAGUUCUUGGCUUCGAACCAAGCGGUUGGGGGUUCGAGUCCCUCCGGGCGCG
This 74-nucleotide transfer RNA is filed under the name Acidobacteriaceae bacterium. RNAcentral describes it as "tRNA-Arg". It matches the Rfam family "tRNA". From Rfam's summary of the family: Transfer RNA (tRNA) molecules are approximately 80 nucleotides in length. Their secondary structure includes four short double-helical elements and three loops (D, anti-codon, and T loops). Further hydrogen bonds mediate the characteristic L-shaped molecular structure. tRNAs have two regions of fundamental functional importance: the anti-codon, which is responsible for specific mRNA codon recognition, and the 3' end, to which the tRNAs corresponding amino acid is attached (by aminoacyl-tRNA synthetases). tRNAs cope with the degeneracy of the genetic code in two manners: having more than one tRNA (with a specific anti-codon) for a particular amino acid; and 'wobble' base-pairing, i.e. permitting non-standard base-pairing at the 3rd anti-codon position. Lineage: Bacteria; Pseudomonadati; Acidobacteriota; Terriglobia; Terriglobales; Acidobacteriaceae. The record is from RNAcentral.